UGGCUUUGUGUUGCCCGUUCAUUGUCUCCAGAGUGAAUGAGGUGUCAACCAAGGCAUACAGGAACCUUGUAGUUGUCUUUUUUGGAAGGAGUCAUCACUGAUUCCUUUCAUUUAAGAUAAACUGCAAGAACACAC
Small nucleolar RNA from Coregonus clupeaformis (lake whitefish), 135 nucleotides. RefSeq annotates it as small nucleolar RNA SNORA13. NCBI's taxonomy places the organism in Eukaryota, Metazoa, Chordata, Actinopteri, Salmoniformes, Salmonidae. The record is from RefSeq and is a predicted model, not a curated record. The transcript has a single exon.